Molecule: long non-coding RNA, 925 nt
Organism: Triticum aestivum (bread wheat)
Lineage: Eukaryota; Viridiplantae; Streptophyta; Magnoliopsida; Poales; Poaceae
Exons: 4
Source: RefSeq, a predicted model, not a curated record
UCCCCGCUGCGACUCCAAUGGGCACCGAUAUCUCUUCCGUCCACCACGAACGACUCUCUCCCAAAAUUCCAGACAAAAAUGCAACCAUGAAGGCACAUCGAAACAGCAGCAUUUAUAGCCCGCUCAUCUCCUUGCCUUCCAUUACAUUGCAAAUACGGUAGACACUGCUGGAUUUAACUAAGCGGCCGCCGCCUUCCACAGGCACGUUCCUCAGUCCCUUCUGCUACAAUUGGUACCAUCCCUUCCACUUCUCCUUCCCAACAAUGUCAACACCUCUUUUCAAUCCCCUCCUUUCCAUGGUCCUUGUAUAUCUAGAUCAUCGGCGAGGUUGUGCCUAAUCGCCAGAUGCUUAGUGCUUUUAUCCAACUUGGCAUCGUAAUGUGCAUCUGUCAUCCGCCGAUUCUGCGGUUCAUCUCCUGGUGGUCAUGCAAUCAUGCGCCCAUGCAUGUCUUCGCAUCUGUCACUCAAGCUCAUGUCUCUUUCCUCGCUUGGAAGUACAACUCUAUCCUCCUCACAGGUUGCGCAUCUGCCACUAUCUGUCCAAGGAAAUGAGUGACAUAAAUGUUGAAUCUGGUGCCUGAUAUGCUUUGUUGGACUAUCUGCCUCUCUUUUCUUAUGAUUAUGAAGUGCUCAGAUAUUUUUUGUGUUCUGAAGUUCAACUUCAGGUGCUAUCACUAAAUUUAACUGAUGUCAAUGAUAGUCACCGUUGACGUCCAAAUAGAAGUUAUAUCAAGGAAAAGGCCCAUCUACAAAUGCUUGACAUGACACAAGGAUGACACGGCAUAUCCUGGAUCAUUUUCUUAGUGUCUUCAUAAACAUUCAUAUUAUGUCAUUGCAUAGAGUUUUUUUAUCCGUCGGUAUAUGUGCUAAAUUUUCUAACUAAUACCUUGGUGUUGUCGGUUAUCAUCACAAGUGUACUCCAUCA